This 474-nucleotide long non-coding RNA is filed under the name Nicotiana benthamiana. Its description in RNAcentral is "long non-coding RNA (NBEN_LNC037593)". The record is from RNAcentral. Lineage: Eukaryota; Viridiplantae; Streptophyta; Magnoliopsida; Solanales; Solanaceae.
UCAACUGUCGAACCUACUGGUCUAAUAUAGCCACCGACUCCUCCUUAUAUGACAGAUCCUUGUGCAAUUGGACAGUGAUGAAAUCUAACACGUGGGUGGGAUCACCGUGAUACUUCCGAAGCAUGGAUACAUGGAAAAUCGGAUGCACGGCUAACAAGCUAGGCGACAAUGCAAGUCUAUAAGCCACAUUCCCCACACGGUCGAGAAUCUCAAACGAGCCAAUACACCUAGGGCUAUGCUUUCCCUUCUUCCCGAAUCUCAUCACGCUCUUCAUAGGCGAUACACGGAGCAAUACUCGCUCGCCAACUAUGAAAGCAACAUCCCUGACCUUACGAUCUGCAUAACUUUUCUGCCUAGACUGAGCUGACCGAAGUCUGUCCUGAAGGAUCUUGACCUUAUCCAAGGCCUCCUGCACCAAAUCUGUACCCAAUAACCGAGCCUCUCCUGGCUCAAACUAUCCAAUUGGAGAUCGAC